UACGGGGGGGGCAAGCGUUGUUCGGAAUUACUGGGCGUAAAGGGCUCGUAGGCGGCCAACUAAGUCGGACGUGAAAUCCCCAGGCUCAACCUGGGAACUGCGUCUGAUACUGGAUGGCUUGAAUCCGGGAGAGGGAUGCAGAAUUCCAGGUGUAGCGGUGAAAUGCGUAGAUAUCUGGAGGAAUACCGGUGGCGAAGGCGGCAUCCUGGACCGGCAUUGACGCUGAGGAGCGAAAGCGUGGGGAGCGAACAGG
Molecule: ribosomal RNA, 253 nt
Filed under: uncultured bacterium
Lineage: Bacteria
Description: partial 16S ribosomal RNA
Rfam family: Bacterial small subunit ribosomal RNA
Source: RNAcentral